AAUACUAACUAGAGUGAAAUCAGUUUUGUUCAUUACUCACUUGAAAAUUCAUUUGAAAAAACAUUUUGGGUUGCACAGCAAUUUCAAUGGGUCCCUCAUGAAGAGCCACUGCAGAGCAAGAGAUGCUGCUAAAUGCAAGAGGCCAGCGUGUACAAACAGAGAUGUCCAUGCCCGGUACAGUUGGUCGGGACGCCGUCUUCGCAUAAACGUGGGGCUUAUAAACGAUCACCUGCGAUAGCUGAACAAAUUUGUAUACUUUGGUGCGAUCAAGACGUAAAGUAUUUCUUCAAAUGCUGCUAUCGCUCUUGCUAUUCUCGCGUCCCUUCGCAUGCAUGGUGCAAACUUAGCUCCUAAAUGUAUGAGAUCCGCCGCCCGUGGUCCCAACCAAAAUGAAGCCGGUUCUUCCCAUUCAACCUAGAAUGAAUAUACACAACAUUUAACAAG
Long non-coding RNA from Pieris rapae (cabbage white), 444 nucleotides. RefSeq lists it as uncharacterized. The transcript is spliced from 4 exons. The record is from RefSeq and is a predicted model, not a curated record. NCBI's taxonomy places the organism in Eukaryota, Metazoa, Arthropoda, Insecta, Lepidoptera, Pieridae.